GUGCCAGCCGCCGCGGUAAGACGUAGGUGGCGAACGUUAUCCGGAAUUAUUGGGCGUAAAGGGUGCGUAGAUGGCCUAGCAAGUUGUCAGUGGGAAAUCGAGGCUCAACCUCGUGGAAGCUGGUAAUACUGCCAGGCUCGAGUACAGGAGAGGUUAACGGAACUCCAUGUGGAGGGGUAAAAUCACAUAGAUAUAUGGAAGAACACCAAUAACGGCGAAGGCAGUUAACUAUUCUGUUACUGACAUUGAGGCACGAAAGCGUGGGGAGCAAAACGGAUUAGAAACCCCCGUAGUCC
Molecule: ribosomal RNA, 296 nt
Filed under: uncultured bacterium
Lineage: Bacteria
Description: partial 16S ribosomal RNA
Rfam family: Bacterial small subunit ribosomal RNA
Source: RNAcentral